This 39172-nucleotide long non-coding RNA is filed under the name Linum usitatissimum (flax). Its description in RNAcentral is "long non-coding RNA (LUSI_LNC006001)". The stretch from base 2792 to 2870 matches the Rfam family "Small nucleolar RNA Z122". Lineage: Eukaryota; Viridiplantae; Streptophyta; Magnoliopsida; Malpighiales; Linaceae. The record is from RNAcentral.
UUCUUUUUUCUAAUCCACCGUCGGGAGGAGCAGCAGCAAGCUUCGCCCGUCUUCUUCCCUUUUGGGAUUUUUUUGAAUUAAUUAAGAAUUUUAUUAAUUAGAAGUUUAAAAUUAUAUGAUGUGGAGCCUAUAUUGAAGUCAAGUGGGAGGUACGUCAGGGGUGUUAAGUUUGACUGUUAAGUUGAUGGUCAAAUUUCAAAUAUGUGCCACAAUAAGUAUUUCUAAUAGGUUAUGCCAUUCUGGGUUUAGACCCAAUAGGUUGGGCCUCCUUAGAUCAUUAUUCAUUUUAUUAACUACAUAUAUGUUAUAAAAAUGUAUAAGUGACAAGUGGGUCUCAAAUGAUUAAAAAAUAUAAAUGAAAAAAUGGGCCACAAGUGAGAUUAUCACUUUGACUUGGAACGAGUACAAAUUUGCACUUAAAAUGAUCCUUUCCCAUCAAUAAUAUUCUCAUUUAAAUUUAAAAAUUGCCACAUAGGCUCCAUGUUACUUAACAAGUAGGGAAAAUCUCAGUGAUAAGAUGCUAUAAUAACAAAUAAUCUUGAGGCCAAAUCCAAUAACUGAGCAUGCCUUCUACAUGUCGGACUCCACCAUAUAAACACGGCCCACGUUAUAAUUGAUUCAUUAAAAAAAAGAAACAAUUUGAUGAAUUGAUGAAAGAAGCGAAAGGCAAAAGAUGGAAAUUGUCGUUUCUCUUCCUAAAACUAGGGUUUUGUUUCUCUCACUAAAAUUAGGGUAUCUCUUCGUCAUGAAGACUUCCUACACCCCCAUCGCCAUCAUGCUCAAGCACAAACCUACUCCUAUCAUCAACAAACCCAUCCCACCUACCGAUGUUGUCAUCAAAACAAGACCGACCCUUACUGCACCCAUGGCCUCCCUAUCGUUGAAGGAGAGUCAUGGCUCGGAGGACCUGACCGGAAUGACAUGGCUGACGAUUGGAUACCAGAGCUGCAGCAAUCUGGAAAGCCCCACAAAGAUUCUCCGCCGACAAAGACCAGCAGGUCAACACUAAGGAGAGGCGGUGUUCCUCCGAUCUUCGAGCUACAGGGGAGCGAGACGACUCUACCCCAUACACCAUAGUGACAUCGCCGGUGUGGACAUCCGAUCAUUCCAUUCAAAGCUCAUGAAGAUCGGCUACACUUGUGUUUGGCUUUCUUUAUUUUUGUUUAGUACUCUCUUUUUAGACAUUUGGUUGAUUUUCAGUCGUACGUUGCACUUCAUUUGUUUCCUUCCUUGAGUCGGGGUAUAGUUUUGUUAAUUUUUUUGUUUAUUUCGUUGCAUCUAAAACCGUUGAUGGUCGAAGAGAUUAAAACUGUAAAUAAAAUAUUCAAUUACCUACUUUCCCCUUACAUCUUUUCUAAAAAACAACUCUCAAUUGCAUUUCUCAUGGUCAAUGUUAUAUCACGCCUCCCUCUAUAAAGAAAUUAUAUUUUGUAAAAAAAAAAAGCGAAAGGCAAAAGAUAUCGCGAGACCUAGUUCUAUAUAAACCCAUUCCAUUCGCAGGUUACGAGCGGCCGUCAUCGCUGUCACAGGGCCAGAUAUGGGAAGCGCUAAAGCUGGCAAACCCUCAAAGAAGUCUCUCAGAAACCCUAAUCCGCUUCGCAUUACCCAUAGGAAGAUUACGAAGCACAAACGGCAAGACAUUGCUGUUGAUACAGUUCCCACCGCCCUGAAGUAGAAACACAACCUCAUAUCGGAGAAGAGGAGCCCCUUCCUUCAGCUUCCCAGCAACUCAGCUUUUUCCUCAGCAAGUUCCAGUCAGCUAAUGGUCUUCAAGGUUAGUCUCUACCGCUGGAGCUCCACAAUAUUGUAUCCCAUGACAUCUCUAUUUGGUUGCUGGACAGAGGGAUUAUUAACAAUUUGUGUAUUGUAUUUGCAGAAACAUCCUUUAUUCAGUUAUUUUGAGAGCUGCCUCAGGAUGUUGAGGGCCUAGGCCAGCAUUUGAAGACUGCUUUCGGAAAGUCAUGGAAAGAAGAACGCUGUGAUCGAAAGCUCGUGGAUAGGUAAACUGAACCAGAGAGUCCUGCUGCUCUUUUCAUUUCUACAUCUGCAUUGAGAGCAAUAGAACUUUUAAGGUAUAGAUUCUCUCAGUUCUUGUUAAUGAUCUUUGUUUUGCUCGAUUUAAUCAGGGUUUGGGCUUGAUUCAAUCUUCUUCUUUUAGGGGUGUGCGUUCACUGAGCGUUCACUGACGAAAGAAUGCCAUGCUGCAAAGCUCUUCUCUAAGCACAUGAAGGUUGAAGAACAUGUGAUAUCCUUUCCCUUUUGUCACUUGUUGUUCCUAUUACAUCGUUAAACAAAAUACUAUCUCUUUAUGUUUCGAGGUGUUGUCAUUUGUUUUGGAUAUCAUUCAGUUCCUUUUAUUAUUACUGCUGCUCGAGUUACGAACAUCUGAGGAAAUAGCAAUGCUUAGGAUGUUAUUGUCCACUUCACUGUCUCGAGACACCGACAUUGUCUUUAGUUAUUAUUUAUGGGUCCAACAAGUUAUGACUUGAACCAUGGUCACAUGGAACAAAAUUAAUUUAUAAAUUCGGACUUCUGUUUCAUCAGUGACAUUUUCACUCUUCGUCAUCAUAUACAUUUGGUGUUUGUUUGUUUUUGGUAAAAGGAUUUGAUAUUACCAGUUAUAAAGAUCAAAGGGCAGUAGCAGUGCAGGAUAAGCUUUUUUCACAUCAGUCUGCUUCUAGUUCAGUAUCUUAGUUUCAAUGAUUUAUGGCUGGAAGCAUGGAGCAGUAUGGAAUUUUUGCAAACAAUUGUUGGAUUAGGAAUUUCAUACUUCUUUUCACUGCAUUUUGAUGUUGGGAUAUGAUGAGUUACACGGAUCAAAUGCUCUAGCAGUGCUGAAUAUGUUUUUUGCACGUCAGUCUGAUCCCAACUUACCGUAUUUUUACUGCCCCUACCUUUAAAUGCAUGUCCGAGUUCUAACAAUAGAUGACUUGAGACAUGGAGCCUAUGAAUGGGGGUUCUCUGUUUGAUUUUAUGACAUUUUACAAUAAUUGUCACAAAUUUUUUUGACAUUGGAUAUGAUGAUGAGUUAGAAUCAAAGGCACUAGAGAUGCUGAAUAUGAUUUUUUGCACGUCAGUCUGAUCCCAGCCUUUCGAUUUCUGAUUACUGGAAUUUAAAAUUUUACUUUGUUUUCGUCAUUUUGACAUUGGGAUAUGAUGAUGAGAUGUAGAUCAAAGGCAUUAGCGGUGCUGAAUGUUUAUUUUGCACGUCAGUCUGAUCCCAGCUCACUGUUCCGAGAUUGUGCUGCCUUCUUGCAUUUCCUAGUUAAAAAAAUGUACUCCUUGGACAUGGAUCUAAACGAACUUCAAAAUAUGAAUGAUUAAGAUUUCGUGAUCAGUGUCAUUCAUAGUUUAUGAUCACUAAUUUAAAUCUCGUGGCAUAUCUUGCAGGGUGUUUAUAGCCAAUUAGAUGCCACACUCACUGAAAGCUUAACUUACGAUUUAGGUUCUGGUUGUGUAUCCCCCCCCCUGUCCACCGCCUUUAACCUUGUACUUCUAAGCAAUUGAUUGUAUUUCCUGAAUAAUGGCUACAUAUUUCGUAAUUGUUCAUGCUCUGCUGAUUAUAUUUUUGCACGUCUCUGUUCCUAAUAAAACUGCACACUAUUUUACGAAAAAAGACGUGCACGCUAAUAUCGUACACCAAUGUAAUAUAACACUAUUAACAACAAAAAGUUCUUAGUACGGGUUCAAUGUCAUCAUGCAACAUCCAUGAUGCCGUUCCUUAGUCUCUCUACGUGACUCUGUGUUGCAUUUGGUAAACUAUUUCUUAAACUUCUGGCUCCGUUUACUGCAGGUCACUUUCUUCAAGAAUCGUGUCAAUAUUGCCAGCGGCACACCAAACAGGUUAGUCACCAGUCAUUUCAUCUCGAUAUUGAUGUUACAAUGGGUCGUUUGGAUGAGGUAUUUGAAAGUGGUAUUUUGGCUCAAGUAACUCAAACUAAAGUUAUAACUGAGUUAUUUGGGCCAAAACACUUCGUUUUCCAUCCGAAAUAAAAGUCGUUAUAUUUCAUAACUGUGAUAUUUGAAAUAAUUAUGGAUGUGAUAUUUGAAAUAACUCAAUUUAAAACCAUAACUCAAAAUGAUAGCUAAACGAAUAAUUCUUAUCCCCCAAAUUCUUACAACUGAUCCAAACGAUUAAUGUUUACUUGCUCAUCCUUUUCGUUCUAGCUGAAUAUUUGCAUUUCCGAAAUAAUGCGCCCCACAUGAGUUCGGUAUACAUUGGUGAUUGCUUUUGCAAGUUUUCCGUGCAUGAAUUGUUGUGGUAUUCAUCAGAAAAUUACCAAUAGGAAAUAGUUAAGAGGUCGUAGAAAAUGCAUCGGGAGUGUCAUUUUAUAUUGUAGGGGCAAAAAUUGAUUUUGAUGAAUUUGAACUUUCUUGACUAGAUUCUUGAUAAAAAAAACUAUCUUGACUAGGUUGAAGAAGUUGAUAGAUAUAAAAGCAAUGGGGCUCUCGCGGUUUUAAAGUUAUCGUGCUAGAUGUCCACCAUGAUGUAAAGGGUUAUUCCUUGCUCACACUUCCACAAGGGGGAGAUAUAGAGAGAAUGUCCGGUCUCUUUUCAACACAGCGAGGAGCAUAGUCGAUUUUGUCAUGUGAAGAGUUGCUGUUGUACAAGUGUUAGUUUGUUAUUUUGACAGGACACUUUUUCAAUUAUUCAAAACUUAUAUUCUAGCUAAGCUAAGGGUAAAUAUCCAUUUUGUAAUUUCACUUGUUGCUGCUUCUACCAAGAGACAGCACACAAGGAAUUAUACUCAUCGGCUUCCUGGCCGCAAUUGAGUUAAAUCUUCUUUUCGGCCCCUAGCGUUUAAAAUAAAAUAAAUCUUUCACCGGCUACCUUCAAAAUCCUCUGUUUAUCUUUCCUUUGAUCUUAUCAAAUUUUUAUAGUGACAAAGUUUGUGAAAUUACUUAAUAAAAAAAAGAAAAAAUUAUUAAACAAUUGCUAAUAUUUAGGCCCGACAUUCGAUAUAGCACAUGUUUUUUAUAAUAUUUUUUUUUGCCCAAAUUUCAAAUUAUGUUAAUUCCUUUAAGUUAAAAUUAACGGAUUGGUGACAAAUGCUGACAAGGCAAACAAUGUGUCUGAUGUGGAUGGAUGAAAAGAAGUCAAUCGGAAAUAAAUACACAGUCAACAUACAGUUAAAAAAUUUUAUAACAAAAACCACCCACAUUCCUUAUCCUCUUCGUCGACCAGCCUUUUAUCACCCACCUGUCACCUCCCUUCUAAAUUAAUUUUCAUCAGAUGGGGAGAAAGAGUGGAAGAAGAAGAAGAAGAAAGAAAGAUGGAGCAAGGUGCAUUUGAUUUGAAUCCCGACAAUGUCGACAACAAUCUUGUAUCUAAAUUCUUUGUCGAUUUGAAUUUCGAUGAUGCCAACAACAACCUCAUUCUUGAACUCUCCGUCGAUUUGAAUCCCGACGAUCCCAUCAACAACACCAUUCCUGAACUCUUCGACAAUUUGAAUCCCGACGAUGCUGAUAACAACCUCAUACCUGAAUUCUCCGUUGAUUGAAUCUCAAUGAUGCCAACAACGACUCUCUAUCGUUGUCGAUGAAAUGCCCAAGCUUGUGGAGAGAUGGAUACAGGGAGUAGUAGCAGGUACAUGUCCAAAUAUGGAUGUUGAGAAAUCCUCCUCGGCUGUCGAUUUCGAAUGGUCCCCACGUUUCAAAUUGAUUUUAGUGUUCUUGCUGGGAGUAGGUUUGCACGCGGCUGAGAUUGGGUUUAUCUGUUUGUUGCAAAUGAAUGAAUUGAAUUGGUUGGUUUUUUAUUGGGGGUGGGUUUUGCAAGCAAGUUGAGUUGUUUGAUUGGUUUGAAGUUUUUUUUGUCUUGAUUGGGUUUUGUAAAAAAUGCUAGCAGAAUACUGACAAUGGAGGAGAAGGUGGAGGAAGGAAAAAGAAGGUGGAGGAGAUGAAUGAUUUUUUUGGUAGCUGAGUUAUUAUUAUUUAAUGAAAGGAGGUAAAUAAAAUUUACCUAACUAAGCUGACGUGACCAGUGAUUGUUAUGUGGCGUCGGACAUGGUAUCUUGAUGAUUUUCUUCUUACGGCGUUUCGUGUUUGGUUAACUAUAACGGUCAACGACAAAGUCAACUGAUUUUCGUUAGUGUGAUUUGAAUUUUGUCAGAAAAAAAUGUAUUUCGGAAAACAUGUGCCAGAUCAUUUGUCGGGUUAAAACAUUGCCAAUUGUGUUAGCUAAUUUUUCCUAAAAUAAGUUAGUGACAUUUUAUCAAGUCGAUCUACACUACAGGAAACUAGAUGUUUAACAACAUCAUUUUUUCUUGUUGACGACAACCAUUUCCUGUUGUUAUGUAUCAUAACGGCGGCUUUGAUUGCGCUAUUAAGAUUGCCAAUGCAAAGAGAUCCUACCAGCGAAAUAUUGGCCGCGGUUAAGUGGGGAAGCGUAACAGCGAAUAGCUGGCCGCUGUUAGGUUGCAUCCUAAUAGCGAAAUAUGACCGAUGUUAGACGAAAUUCUAAUAGUGGCAUUGUGUCCGUUGUAAGGAUUUCGCCUAACAGCAACUACAUAUCCUCAUAGUUUUCUUAUUAUUUUAUUUUUUUCGUUUGGCUAUUUUCCAUAUAUAUCCAACUUGUUCAAGUAAUUUUUUCGAUAGGUAGAUAGAAAUACAAAUUUGGGAAACACUUUGCUAAAUAUAAAACUAGUCAUUUUGAUUAAAUAUUUGAUUGUUAGGACACAUACUAAUUCCUUGGCUUAAACUACACCAUCCUUCUAAAGUAACUACUUGAUUCAUAGUUGUUCAUCCAACAUGUACAAUCCACUAAACAUAGACUACUCCUCUUGGUCGUAAUCAAGCUCAUCGUCCCUCUCAUUUGUUUCCAUCAUAGUGCUCGUUCACAUUUGUUUGCAUCAAAUGGCUGCCAUCAUACAUUUGGAUUUAGAACAUCUGCCUCAUCUCCUCCAAAUCAUGAGAUAAGCCAACUUGAGAGUUGGCAAGAUGAGCUAUACACCUACAAUACACCAAAUAAAAGUUAGUUUUUUUAUCCAAAAAAAUUUGCAUGACCAAUUCGAAUUCACGGUUUAACUUAUACUCUUUGAUCUACAAAAUGAACAAACGAUACUAGAUUUGGAAGGACAAGUUUCGACAGCUACAAUGAAUCAAGGAAACCUUUUACAUCUACAUUAUCAAAACAUAAUUGCAGAAUUAAAAGUAUAAACCAUGAGUAAGGUUGAAUGAUAAAAUUUUCACUAUUUAGAGGUGUCGGUUAAAAUGUGCAAAUUGGAUAAUAAAUUUGCAUGGGAAGGAUGAUUAUGUAGAUUACGUAAUAAACUAACAAAUACAUAUAUACUUAUGAUUUGAAUGGGACUUGUAAGUUAAAAUUGGAGGCGCCCCUCUUAAUUUGUACCUAUUGUAUGUUCACUAACCACCCAUAAUAAAAACAAGCAAGAAAAAUUGGAUUUGGUGGAUCACUCGAUGAAGAAACAAGAUUCGAAACUAGCCCUCAUAACUUGAUUAGGUGAAGUUUCUACCUAUAACAGUCCAACUUAGUGGUAGAAUUAAUUUAGGAUUAAUGCUGAAAAAUACAAAUACUUAUUCAUUUUGCUUUCACUCUAAAUCCUAAAUGGCGCACCACUGUUCCUGACUUCUCUUUUUUGUUCUUCGAACGUAUACGAUAUGCCCUCGCCAUAGCAUCCUCCUUGCUAACCCCAUGUUAGUAUUUGGUUCCUUCAUAAACUGUUUGACUUCAACCUAUAUUCAAUCUCAAAAUCUUAAAUAUAUUAGAAUUGCAUCUUAUCAACAAAAGGUCAAAACACAAUAAAAUUAUAUGCAACUUACAUAAAAGUCUCAAGUAACAUAUGUUUCAUCUUCUCUUUCAUAACACUUGAAAAAGAACUCAGAUCUUCUUACUUCUUUUCCUUUCGCUUUCUUCUACAUUAUACGUUCUACAAUCAAUACAAAUUAACUUCUCAUGACUUUUGGAACAUAAUAUAAAGACGAUUGAUGAGAUGCUUACUUACCAUCUCUUCACGAAUUAUAUUGAAAGGUUUUGACCCUUUCGUAUGAUAGAUGUCUUGAUUAGAACGAUACCUUGUUUCUUUGCAGAUGCAGUCUAUAAAACUGCUAGUAAUUGACAAAUGACAAUAAUAAAUAUCAUUAUAUCAAAUAUAAGUACAAAUGUAAAACUUACUAGAGUUGGCUUCCCCUCCUAUAUCUGCAAAACAUAUCCCACUCACGUUCAUCAAUAUUUGGUGGUUUCCUGUCUAAGUUGAGCUGAAGACCUUGAGUAGCAUCGAUAUUUGGUGGUUUCCUAUCACGUUCAUCGAUACUAAUCAAUUUUCUUUGGAUAUGACUAAUGUAAUGAAGAAGAUAGAAGAGAUUAAAUCUAAAACCCUUAUGAUUACCCUGCAUUCAUAAAGACUGCAAUGCAAUAUGUACAGAGAGGCGUGGACACAUAGCAAAGUCCUUACAAUUUUGACAAUUACCAUCCAAUACAAUUUUGUAAGCUACAGCUAACAUUCAUGAGCUAAUAAGUUUUGUCAGGUCGGUUACGAAAGAAAACACACUUAACUUCAUAAACAAUAAUAAAUUAUGAAAACCCCCAAAUCAAAGUUAGGGCUCAUCUAAAUCAUUAACAAAUCAUACAAACUGAUUUCAAUCUCAAAAUUAAACUUAGACCCAGCACUAUAAAUAAGAUGUCUAACCUAAAGCUAGAACAAAACACUUCCAAUUCACUAAACGGAAAACAUUUCAAAGAUCUAGAUUUUACUAACCUUUCAAUUUUCUUGCUAACACAAGAUGACUGAUUGAGAUGAUGGACAGGAACCAAAAUGAGCCGCAGCUGGAAGGCCGGAGCAAGCGACGCCGGCACGAAGAAGAAAAACGCCAGCGAACGGCCGUUGGUGAAGAUACUAUCUGGCUGUGUCCUUUGUUCAAUUUGGGGAAAGUUGGGUUUUUACGUGGUGUUGGGGGGUUAUAUGUAUUUGGAGUUUCGUUUAUAUUAAUAUAAUGAAGAAUUAAGUCUCAUUUUGUUUGGGGCUUUAAAUUAAUAACCCAACGUCGGCUUGAUUCUCUACAUAGCCGCUGAUAGGAUUACUCUUAGCAGCUGCCAUCUAAAUAAGAGCCACUGUUAAGUUGUUGUAUUCCAUCAUAUUUUUUAAUUAUUAUCCUAACAUCGGCCAAUAUUAAUCAGGGCCGAUGUUAGGUAGUAAUAACGUAUCAGUAGCCUUCCAUUUAUUGUUAGGAUAUUGACCUAACAUUGAGACCAUGUCCGUUGUUAAAUUUUGUAUGUUAAAAUAUCCUAACUGCAGGUCUAUGUGGCUACAGUUAAAUUGGCAAUAUUAGGUAGUCAGUUUCUUGUAAUGCUACCUUGUUUAUCAUAGAAAAUUUGUUAUGACAAACGUGAUUGUUGUUGUUACAUAACAACACUCUAAUUUUCCAUCUAUUUUUAAUUUUAAAAAUUUGACAGUCUUAAUUUGUUGAAUAUUUUUAAUCUUUUUUACAUUUUUAUCUCUCAUAAAUAUGUCCUAAUUUUUAGUUAAAGAAUCCUCAUUCAAUUUCUAUUUCUAUUUCUAUUUUUUUACCUAUAUUUAAUUAAGUUAAUAACUUAAUAUUUCCUUAAUUGCUUUUUACAGGUUGUCAACGGAGUUCUGGUACUCCCAACAAGUGAGAAGAACGAUCAGAUUAGUAACAGAGCACAAACAAAGGUACAAAAUAAAUUACCAUAUCACAGUCUCAGGUAUAUAACUCCAUACAAUAGCACAUUCAUGGGUACAUAACUAGACAAAAAUUAAUCAAAAAUUGAUACUUCAAUACACGAGGUAUAAAAUGCAGUACCAUAUCACAAACCCCUUUUUUUUUUUUUUUUUUUUUUUUUUUUUUUUUUUUUUUUUUUUUUUUUUUUUUUUUUUUUUUUUUUUUUUUUUUUUUUUUUUUUUUUUUUUUUUUUUUUUUUUUUUUUUUUUUUUUUUUUUUUUUUUUUUUUUUUUUUUUUUUUUUUUUUUUUUUUUUUUUUUUUUUUUUUUUUUUUUUUAUUUUUUUUCUUUUUUUUUUAUUGUCUGUUUUUUUCUUUUAUCCUGUUUUUCUUCCUUUUCAAGAUCUUGAAAAGAGAGAGAAAAUGAGAGAGAGAGAAUGAGAAAGAGAAAACGAGGGAAAGAGAAUGAGAGCAAGAGAGAGAGAGAGGAGGAGAAAUUUUUGGAGUUUUUUUAUUUUUAGUGGCUUUGAUAUUGAAAAUACUAUAUAAAGAAUUUUAGAUGAAAUCAGUCAGUUGAUACAAUUAUUGUUGUUAUGUGCUAUUAUCGUAUGAUAAGCGGGUGGGGCUUUUCUUGUUUUCGUAAACAUCAAGAUUUUAUUGGUUGGGUCUAUGAUUCCAGCCUACAUGAUACUCAAAAGGGCCCUGGUUCAUCUGGAAAUGAAAAGUGCUUUAUGAACGUUUGGAUUGGUGCUUCCUUGACUCGGUUUGGUAACUUCAAUUUCUACCCACCUAUAUCGUGUUAAGUCGGAUCACCGACCUAUUUUCAUGGUUGCGACCAAGCUCAAGAAGUCAAAUCUUCCUCAUACCUUUCGCUUUAUGGCUUCAUGGUUGUCACAUGUUGAGUUUAAGCCUUUUUUUGUCGGAAUGGAAUCGGUCUUUUACCUUUAUUCAUCAGAUGUCCAUUCGAGCUACCAAACUGAAAAAAUGAAAUAAGGAAAUUUUUGGCAACAUCCAAACGAAUAGAAGGAGCUUAUCUUUAAACUUGCUGAUGUUUAAGCUCUCGCAGCUCCUCUACUCAUUCAAGACACCACAAUGGACAUUGCAAGUGACCGGAAUACUCAUUUUUUUCACGUAUCCACCUUCCGUAGGCGUGCUCGGAACCACAUUAUUAAGUGAAGGAUGACUGUGGGGUGUGUAUUCAUUAGGUUUGGGAGUCGGUUAAUUUGGUUAAUAACCAUCGGUUAAUGGUCGGGAAGCGCUUUGAUGAUUGAAAUUAAUUAACCAAAUUAACCGACCGAGCAAAAGCCACGGUUAAUCUUACCGACCGAUAACCGACCAAUCAGUUAAAUGAUCGAUUAUUAACAGACUGACUCUCGGUUAACCGUUGUAACCGGCUCUGACCAAUUUAACUCUCUUCUCAUAUUGCAACAAGAUUCUAGGCUCUGGCUCUAGAUCCGUCGUCGAUUCAAGCCUUGGAGACCAUAGCUUCUCUUCUGGAAACAAUCCGGUGCUCUACAACUUGAUCCUUCGGGACUGGAAGCUUUCCGAGACGGCGUUGUUGCGGAUCAGUAAGGAGAGGAGGAAGCUUCAAGCCUAUGGUGUUGCAGAUCGAAGAAUUGAGAGAGUGGAGGAGGAGAGGAUUGGCCGUGGCGACGAAGGAAGCAUGUGGUGUUGCAGAUCGAAGAAUCGAGAGAGUGGAGGAGGAGAGGAGCGCUUGCGGUGACUCGUCGUGGUCGUCGUCGUGACUGCCGGCGAGAUGCUGAAAUUGAAUCGCUUGGAUUGAUAGAGUUGUCGAGAUGGAUUGAUGGAGUUGUCGAGAUGGAUUGAUGGAGAUGGCUCGGAGUUAACCUAAUUUCAGAAUGAGAGGUUGUGAUGGAGUGGGAGGCUGGGAGGGGAGGGAGCGAUUCUGCGAUUGUGGUGAGCAAAGCUUGAUUUCCUAAUUGGGGACCUUGGUUUUUUUAAUUACCGGUUAACGUUGGUUAACUCGAGUUAACCAACGAUUUUACCCUGCUCCAACAAGUACUCCCAACUGUUCCCCGACCGACCCCUACCUCGGUUAAACCGACACUCUAACCGAGUCGAUCAGUUCAUCUGUUUAACCUAUUAACCGAGACUGAUGGCCCACCCUUAGUAUUCAUCCAGCUUGUUGCUGCAAUUAGUGUCGUAUUGAUAUGGUUGAGAGAGGAUAAAAUAUGCUUGAUUUCAAGUUCUCCAACUUGAAAGGUUUAGCUGUUAAAAAUGUAGAGGUCAUGACUGAGUACUGAUUUCCAGCAAGGAGAAGUUGGAUAUUUGCUUGCGAUAAAAAAGAAUUUGGACAGUCUAUCUUAGGCACAAAAUCUAACGGAUGAGAUGGCAACUUUACUUCAGGGGCCUAUUGGUCAUUUUAAAAUUUUCUUGUUUUUCAGUUUAUUUUUCCAUUCUGUUUAAUAUUGGUUCAAGUAAAAUGAUUUCUUGUAAAUUGGGUCUAUUGAGUAACGUGGGUGGGUAGACUUUAUUGCUCCCAUCGAGCUUGACGUGAUAUUUUCUUCUUCGUUUCUUUAACAUGCAUAAAUUGUAUAUAAUACGAAAGGUUGGAAAUAUAUGUGAAGCUCGAGGUUUAUUAUAUAUGUUUCGAGGUUUAUUAUAUAUGUUGAACCUUUUUGCCAAUUGGUUAUUUUUAUCAUGUAGUGCCUUAUCAAGUAAAGGGAAUGGUUGUUUUUAUCUACUGUCACUAGCCAACUUUCUUUCUCAUGUGAUCAAUUAUUUGAUCACGCAUGAAUGACUACAGUACACAAAAGAUAGAAAUAUUAUAAAAACAAAAAACAAAUAUUAAAAAAAAAUACCUAAAAAGCAGGUACAUAACAACAAAAACAAUAACCGUAAAUAUCAAGUACAUGAAAGCGGAUGCUCAAAAUAAGCACGCACACAUUAAAAACUUUGGUACAUACAAGGCAAGAAAAUCGAGAACAUAUUGGAACUCGAGUACCGGAAUUGGUACGGUAUUAAGUACAACGUGAAGAAAUAUCAAGUACAUUAAAAAGCGAGUAUAUAACAAUAGAAAUAAGUACACGAAAACAACUCAGAGAAAUGAUAAUUUGAUUGCCAAAAUUGAGUAUGAUAAAGUAAAAUGCAAGCACGUAGUACAUGAAACAAAUAUGAGUAAGAGUACAUAAAUUUUUUAGUACAAUACAAGACAAAAACUCAAAUACAUAUAAAAACUGGACACUAAAAAAAAUAAUUAAUUAUUCACAAUUUUAAAUAAUAAUAGUCACGAUUUUUAUCAUGAUUAACAGAAGCUAGUCACGAAAAUAAAUCCGUAACUAACCUAACCGAUGCUAGAUGAACUUGUCACGAAUCUGAAUAACCUGUAACUAAGUUGUCACCGAAAUUUUCCGUGACCAACUCAUCACGGAAGAAACCGUGAACAUAUGUGUUUUUGUUUUUGUUUUUUAAAUUAGUGGCACGGAGCCAUAUGCUGUGAUAAUUGAUUUAUUAAUAAAUUAAUCCCACAUCUCCGUGGCUACUAUAUCACCAGAAUUUCCAGAUUCCGGCAACCACAAUUUCCAGAAUCCGGCAAUAAGAUAGAGUUGAUAAUUGCUUUUUUAUUAGAGUAAAAUGUUCUACAUCUAUACAUUAUGAUACCCAUAUCAAAAUUCCAGAAUCCCAAAAUUGAACAUAACGUCAACGAAAGGCACCAUGCAACAAUGGUGACACUAAGGGUUACAACAACCAGCAAAACCGAAACACAGACUGGAAAUGCUACCAAGAGAAGGAUGAGACUAGAUGAUGAGAUUGAGAUUGAGAGAAGAAAAAUGAUAGUAAGAAAUUUUGUUUUCGAGAGAGAUCAAAUGAAGAUGAGAUCUACUUCUAAUUUAAUAUAAUGGAAAUGGAGAUAUGGUUGUUUAAUGGCAAAGAGAGAAGAAAGGAAUAGCCCAUUAAACGAGGAUAGAGUCUGCAUCAUUUCUUUUUUCGACCUUUUCCCACUAAAAUGCUAAUUUUAAAAUUAUAAAUAAAAGUUGGUCACGGUUCCAACAUUUACCGUGAGUAGUUGGUCGCGGUAUUCAACAAUCCAUGACUAGUUAUGGAUUUUUUUUUAUCUAUAAGUAGUUAGUCAUGGUUUUUAAAGCCGUGAUUAAUAAAUCGUGAUUAAUCGUUGAUUUUUUUUGUAGUGCGAGUAUGAGUAUUGAGUAAAACGUCAUGUACAAAAACAAGUACAUCAAAAGCGAGUACAUAAUUAUCAAAACAAGUACUAAAACGAGAGGAAAAGUACAUAAAAAGCGAGUAUAUAAUAAUAGAAACAAGUGCAGUAAAAAUCAAGUGCAUGAAAGGAAAACGAAACUCAAACUAAACACUAAUACAAAAAAAACUUUAGUACGCAAAUAAGUAAAUACAAGAAAAUUAACAUACACAAACGAAUACAUAAGAGUAUAGUGUUUAAACAAAGCGAUUAUACGGAUCAAUACGAUGUUGAGUACAAAACAACAACUUGAGGCUUUAUCCCUCAUUUUUAGAUGAUUUUGUACUAAGUUCUUAUAUGUAUUAGUUUUUAUUAAUGUAAUCCCUCGUGUACUUUGUCUUUGGAUUUAUUUUUAUGCCAUAUCUAUUUAUUUACGCAUUUGUGUAUACUUAUAUUUUUAGAACUUUAUACUCAAAUCAAUUAAUCAAACAAUAAAACUAUUUUCUCUUUACACGAACCAACAUAAUAACCCAUCACCCCAUACAGGGUUGUGAAGGAGGUGCAGUGACCAGAAUUUUCUAGUUGUUGCUUUUCUAUAGUUUGAUAAGGGUAAGCAUCUUGUUCUAGAAUAUAUGUUGUUAGGUUAUAACAAUGCAUCUAGUUGAGCAUGAUUCUUUGGUCAAGUGUUACUGGGAUUCUUUUUGUUCCACAUCAAUGCUCGGAGGUCGAAGAGGCAACGAGGGUGACGAAGAAAUCGGCAUCACCACGUGAGAGAAGAUGAAGAAGAGGUCAGAGAGUGGAGCCGGUGGAAAAGAUAUACUAGAAGAGGUACUUAAAGUUACUUGUACGACAAAACUGCCCUUAUUCAAUUGGACAACCCCUAGAUUAAAAUUUAAAAAUGAACGGACGCGAUUCGUUUGCGGCCAGCAAACACAUAAUAUCAUGGCUGCCUAUCCGGACUCGUCAUAACUGGCGUCAACAUUACGUAGUGUUGUCAAAAAUUAAAAAGGGGAAUAUAUAAUAAUAAUAAUAACAGACGUAAUCUUGUGUAUAUAAUGAUAUUAAAACGUUUUUCAAUCGACAAAGCCAAGUCUGCGGGAGGAACAGCUAAUGGACGAACAGCCUAAGCAUAAGCCGCCUUCUUCGUAUUCUUCAGAUUCUCUGAAUCUCUACCCUUUUUUUUUGUUACGCGGAUUCCCUUCCCUCGUCUGCAAACAAAAAGCUCUUCGUUGACUUUUUAGCAGGCUUUUUUAAAAAACCUUAAUUGAAAAAAUUUGUACAUGGUUGUUGCCUUUGUUGGCGUCAGCAUGACCCAAUGCUGUUGUCAUGUUCAUGAUUGCUCCAACUCACCUGGCUGCGCAUCUGCCUUCUGACCUGACCUGCCCUCCUCCUUUUUUUUAAAUUAUGUUUCCCCAAAAUUAAAUUUAAAUCGUUACAAAAUUGGUCUCUCCUUCUCCUAUAUAUAACGUGGAAGAGCUCCUGCCAAAAAAGUCAUUCAAACUCAAAGCAGAUAAAUUAUCAAAAUAAAAAAGAAAACCCCAGUGCUCUGCCUGCCGUUAAGAAAUUAGUUUAUUGGGUUUGUUGUGUUUAUGAAAGCUGUGUUCCAGAGACUGAUAUCGUCAAGCACCCAGAUUGGCUGUAGGAAGAAAGUUGCAUCUUUUCCAUUAAUCAGAAGCGCUAAUAUGUCUGAAUCCUCUGCCUUUGAUUCUCCGAGAUUGGUGACCAAGAAGGUCCUUGCUAAGCUUCAGCGUGAAGGGGAUGGUGCUUCUGUCAGGAGAAGCAUUGGAAGGUAUAAUAUAAUAUAUCAUGGAUGGAUGGAUGGAUAUACAAUUUUCUUCUUGUCAAAAUUGAAUUAACUGUUUUCGUUUCUGUGGUGAAAUUGAAUGAUUGAAUGUUGAAUUAUUUUGGUUCAGGAGUGAGCUCAGGUCUCUGGACCCUUUCCUCAUGUUGGAUGAGUUUUCAGGUCUGCUUUGCUUAAUUACUUGAAACCAAAUUCCUUGAUAUUUUCUAGAAUUAGGAUGAUGAUGGAUGAUGGAUGGUAUUUAAUUUGUUGUUGCAAAUUGCAAUGCAUGAAGUCUCAGCUCCUGCUGGAUUUCCUGAUCAUCCACACAGAGGUUUUGAGACUGUUACAUACAUGCUGGAGGUACAGACAGUACUGGAGUUAAUUAUUUAUUAUGAAUUGAAGGCUGUUUUUUGUCCUUGGUAGUCUAUUUAUUGAUGUCUGUGAAAUUCGUGGGUGGCACUGGCAGGGAUCAUUCACUCAUCAAGAUUUUUCUGGGCAUAGAGGGACUAUUCAUGCCGGGGAUGUUCAAGUAAAAUAAUUCACUCAAUUACAAUACUACGACGUUUACUUAAUUAGCUAGCUUUACUUGAUCAAAGUCAAAAACUCUUUCUUUUUUUAAAGUAAACAACAACAACAACUUGUGUGUUUUCCUGUUGGGCAGUGGAUGACAGCAGGUAGAGGGAUAGUCCAUUCAGAAAUGCCUGCAGGAGAAGGAGUCCAGAGAGGCCUUCAGCUUUGGAUAAACCUCUCUUCUCAACAUAAAAUGUAUGUUUUUAUUUCCUUUUUUGUUUGUACUUUCCAACUUCACCAUUCCAACAGUUUGUAAUAUGGAACCAACAGGAUUGAGCCAAGGUAUCAGGAACUUCUGAGGCAGGACAUCAAAAGAGCAGAGAAAGACGGGGUUGAAGUCCGAAUCAUAGCAGGGGAAUCAAUGGAAAUCGAGUCUCCAGUUUAUACAAGGACCCCAACAAUGUACCUUGAUUUCACACUGCAACCAAGGUCCCAAAUGCACCAGCCCAUUCCAGAAUUAUGGAACGCAUUCAUUUACGUCAUUGAAGGUGAGGGAGUGUUUGGGAUCCCAAACUCCUCACCAGUUGAAGCACAUCAUACACUCGUUCUAGGCCCUGGUGAAGGAAUGAGCGCCUGGAACAACUCCUCUUCCAAACCCUUGAGGUUUGUCUUGAUUGCAGGCCAGCCACUUAACCAACCAGUGGUGCAGCAUGGUCCUUUUGUCAUGAACACAGAAUCUGAAAUCCACCAAGCAAUUGAAGAUUACCACUACUCCAAAAAUGGGUUUGAAAUGGCGCAGUAUUGGAGUUCCCAAUAGGGAACAAGUAAGUGCUUGGAUCACUCAAAACCAAAUCUCCACAUUCCCUCUCAACUUUGAAGAAGAAAAGAGUAAAGAAUAAAAAUACACAUCCACAAACACUAAAGGCCACACGCAUAUGUGAGUGAUACUCAUUUGUGUUCCAUCAUGUAUUAAUUUAGCUUUUAUCCUCUUCCAACCUUUUACUAUUCCAAAUCAAAAGGUUGAUUAUUGCAUUGUCACACAAAACAAUGAUAAUAAAAAUACUCAAUUCAUAUAAUCCUUAGAAUUAAUUCUUUUCAUAACUAUAGUAGAUGUUUGAACAAGUGAGAACAAAAUAUAAGCUUAAUCUUAAUAGUAAUAUCAACGGAUAAUAGCACUGUGUGUCACUUAAUUAUUACCCAUGUCGCACAUAAACUACUUAACUUUCUACAUUGCACAUAAAGCCACUUAACUUUGCUUAUGCUUGCAACAUCCAAAUUUUCAUUCAAUUUAUGGAUAGACUGAUCGAAUUGAUGAGUUCUUAUUCGAGAUCUUCUGUAUGAAUAACCUCCAACACAUUAAAGAGAACAAUAAUUUAUAAGAACUGACAGAAUAACUUAUUACUUGUUUACAGAAAAGAAUGAUAAAAUAAAAAGGCAAGAAUAGAUUAUAAUCAUGCCUUGGACACUGCUUUCGAAAAAAUAUUUCCCGAAUUUAGAACACCAAUACAACUAAAGGUUAAUCACAAUAUUCACUCAAACUCUAGUGUAGGGCUUGAAUGUUGGAACUUGGAAACUUAUGCUAUUUUGAUUCCGAUUUUGAGAGUGAAAACAAAGUUUUCUGCCCAUAUUAAUCAACUAGGAUUUCCCUUUUUAAAGAGAACGCAUCCACUAACCAACAUCAAAUCCAGAUUCUCCUUUCUGAUGAUCAUCAAUGAUAAGCAGAUAUGGGGAAGGUGGAGUUGAGCUCCCGAUUUCUAGGAAGCCAACCAAAUACUUCUGUUAAGCAUAAGUCUUGAGUAUAUGCGGUAUGUAACUGAUCAUUACUGUUACUUCAAGUGGUUAGAUAAUGGUUACAUCAUCUUGCUGUUGUCCGUUGAUGACAUGUUGAUAGCAAGUUCUAUUGUAAAAGAAGUAAACAAGUUGAAGAAACAGUUAUCUAACAGUUUACUAUUAAGAAUAUAGGAGACGCUAAACAGAUUUUGAGUAUGUGCAUUGAUCAUGAUAGGCAAGUAGGAAAGUUUUAUCUUUCGCAAGUUGAAUAUAUCAAGAAAGUCUUGAAGAGGUUCAAAAUGCAGGAUGCAAAACUAGUAAAGAUUCCUUUGGGUGGCUAUUUCAAGCUAUUUGAGAAGGAUAUGCCUAAUAAUGAUCCAGAACGUGCCCAAAUGCACGAAACACCAUACAUUUUUGUAAUUGAUAGCUUGAUGUAUGGAAUGGUGUGCACAAUACCAGAAAUUGCACAUGUAGUGGGAGUUGUCAAUAGAUUCAUGGGAAAUCGGGGGGAAGCGAUUAAGUACUCCUGAGAUAGUUGAAGAUUACUACUAAAAGGGUCUUGGGCUUUGAGGGCAAAGUAAUGUAGUUAGAAGGAUUUGUCAUCAAGUGACCUUGAUAGAAGAAGAUGUACAACAUGGUAUAUUUUUACUCUUUGAGGUACCAUGGUUUCUUGGGCUUUUAAGUUGCACUGUCUAACACUCAAGCUAAAUAUGUUGCGGUAACGAAGGCCAGCAAAGAGAUGGUAUGGUUUUAGAAUUUCUUUGGUGAAUUGGGGAAGAAGAAAGAGGAUAGCAUAUUGUACAUUAGUCUUAUACACUUGCAAAAAAUUCAGCAUUUCAUUCAAAAUCGAAGCUCAUAUUGAGUUGAUGUAUCACUUUAUGGGUUGAUCUCUUGGAAAGGAAGAUCUUACGGCUUAUGAAGAUUCUAGGAAGUGAGAAUCCUAUGGAUAUGCCGACUAAGGUUGUAAAGUUGGAGAAGUUGACACUGUGUAUGACUUUAACUGGUUUUGUAACUGAAGUUGAAGGUCAGAUGCUGCUUGUAGUAGGAAGACGUUGAACAUGGAGAACCAAUGAGAGGAGUAUGUCUUCAGGUGGGAGAUUGUUGGGUUAUGGUGCCUAAGAAACUGAAGGCUUGGUCCAGUUAGUUUGUUUAGUUAGAUAAAAAUUAAGAUUAAUCUUGUCUAUUCUAUAUAGGAUUAGAAUUAAUAUGGUAGCUCCCUAUAAAUAAUCUAUAUUCAUAUCAUUGUAAUCUGUAUCACAACAAUAGUAGUCGAAAUCCUAACUUGGUUUGUAAAAAAAGAAAUUCUAGCGUGGUAGCGCCCUAGACAUACUCUUCUCGUGAAGAGGAACUAGGUUCUUAAUUUUUCAGUUUAUGAUUGCGUUUCAUUUUUUACAGGAACGACCAGAUCCAGCUCAGAAACUUCCUCAAGAUGGCGACGUUGAAGAAGCUCUGUCUCGCUAACGCCUAACAAUGGCUUCUCUAGACUGAUUCAGACUGUCCUCACCGCUGGAAAAGGAGAUUAGAUAGAAAUCCAUCUUUUAUUCCUCUUCAUUGUUUUUAUGACAAUUUCUUCUUUUCUUUUAUAAUAGAGAACUAUUUAUCACUUUUGUUGGACAUUUCUUGUUUGUUUCCCUCAAGAACUAAUAAUUUUGGUCAAUGGGUGACCACUGAUGAUGUUGAUUCUAUAAGCUUUAGUAUUUAGUCAAAUUCUUGAGUUUUUUUCAACUAGAAAAAAAAAGAAGAGAGGUUACAGUUUCAAUUAUUAAGUUUGAAGAAUUAAAGAAAAAAAACUAGACUACAGAUAUGAAAAGGUAAUUCUGAUAAUUUUUAUUGAUGAAUUUUUUUUUUGUAAUGAGUAAGAUAAUUUUUUAGGUUUUAUAAAUGGGUUUUUGGUUAAAAAUCUCAUUUAGAUAGAGUUUUUGAUGGGUAAUUAUGAAAUUUGACAUAAAGGGUACAUGAUUAAAAAGGUGGGAAAGGAAGAUGCGAAAAGAAGGUAAGAAGGAAUCAAUUCAUGGCAAAAAAGAAAAAUAAAUAAGAGGGAAGAAAGAAGACAUAUAUUGAUGGGAGGCGGAGGUGGGAUAGGGAGGUGAGAGAAAGAUGUAACAACAAAGAAGGGUUUAGCGAAAGGUGNNNNNNNNNNNNNNNNNNNNNNNNNNNNNNNNNNNNNNNNNNNNNNNNNNNNNNNNNNNNNNNNNNNNNNNNNNNNNNNNNNNNNNNNNNNNNNNNNNNNNNNNNNNNNNNNNNNNNNNNNNNNNNNNNNNNNNNNNNNNNNNNNNNNNNNNNNNNNNNNNNNNNNNNNNNNNNNNNNNNNNNNNNNNNNNNNNNNNNNNNNNNNNNNNNNNNNNNNNNNNNNNNNNNNNNNNNNNNNNNNNNNNNNNNNNNNNNNNNNNNNNNNNNNNNNNNNNNNNNNNNNNNNNNNNNNNNNNNNNNNNNNNNNNNNNNNNNNNNNNNNNNNNNNNNNNNNNNNNNNNNNNNNNNNNNNNNNNNNNNNNNNNNNNNNNNNNNNNNNNNNNNNNNNNNNNNNNNNNNNNNNNNNNNNNNNNNNNNNNNNNNNNNNNNNNNNNNNNNNNNNNNNNNNNNNNNNNNNNNNNNNNNNNNNNNNNNNNNNNNNNNNNNNNNNNNNNNNNNNNNNNNNNNNNNNNNNNNNNNNNNNNNNNNNNNNNNNNNNNNNNNNNNNNNNNNNNNNNNNNNNNNNNNNNNNNNNNNNNNNNNNNNNNNNNNNNNNNNNNNNNNNNNNNNNNNNNNNNNNNNNNNNNNNNNNNNNNNNNNNNNNNNNNNNNNNNNNNNNNNNNNNNNNNNNNNNNNNNNNNNNNNNNNNNNNNNNNNNNNNNNNNNNNNNNNNNNNNNNNNNNNNNNNNNNNNNNNNNNNNNNNNNNNNNNNNNNNNNNNNNNNNNNNNNNNNNNNNNNNNNNNNNNNNNNNNNNNNNNNNNNNNNNNNNNAUGGGUUUGUGGUUAAAAAUCUCAUUUAGAUAGAGUUUUUGAUGGGUAAUUAUGAAAUUUGACAUAAAGGGUACAUGAUUAAAAAGGUGGGAAAGGAAGAUGCGAAAAGAAGGUAAGAAGGAAUCAAUUCAUGGCAAAAAAGAAAAAUAAAUAAGAGGGAAGAAAGAAGACAUAUAUUGAUGGGAGGCGGAGGUGGGAUAGGGAGGUGAGAGAAAGAUGUAACAACAAAGAAGGGUUUAGCGAAAGGUGAUAUAAACAAAAUUAAUUUUGUAAGAAAAUAUUUUUUUUAAUGCCAUGUCAACUAGUUUGUAACUUUUAGUGUCCAUGUCAACAAACAAAAUUUUAUAAAGUUACCAAAAUUCAAAAUUUGUGUUACGAAAAGUAUUUCUAAUAGAUUGUGCCAUUUUCGGUAAAGGCUUAAUAGGUUGUGCAUUUAAGAAAAAAAAUAUUAUUGUGUUUCUACAAUUAACAUCAAUUAUCACCAAACCAUUAAAUACUAAAAACCAAUUAAGAUAUAGUCAUGUUACAAAAAAUGACUCUUGUUAUGAUUUUUUUGUUUAUGCAAUGAUAGGAUGAGAUUAAAAGGUUAAUUUCUUUUUCGACAAAACUUGUAAAAUAUUAUUAAACUCAAUUAGAUAUAAUAUCAUCUACAGUUGGUCAAUCAAAAAAAUUGAGGGUCUAUCCACCGAAACAAUCGUGGAGUUCCAAUGAGUCUGAUUAUACGCCAUAACAUGGGUAAGCUUGUUAACUUAUCUCCGGCCAUGACGCCAAUUACCACAAUCAAACUUUGCCAAAAGGCAACGAAUUAUGGACUAAAAUCCAUGUUCGGUAUGAUGAUCUUCCACAUGAUGCAAAGUCUCAACCAUGAUCAAGCUAUCACUUUCAAGAACCACAUUAGGAUACCUAUGUUGCAAGGCCAAUUGUUAGCAAAAUCUUGCCUCGACCGCCUCAGUUAAAGUAGGCUCAUAGCAACCCUACAAUUUCAACAUAUCCGCCAUUAAGUAAUGCCGAACGCCAUCCCAGAUAACCACCCCAAUACCCAUUCUGGAUCCUGUAAUGAUAGUUGCGUUUAAGGUAGUGAAACUGGUGAGUCAACAUGGGAUCGAAAAGGGACCUAGAAUCGUAAUCGUAAAAUCAAAUCGCAAAAUCAUAAAAUUUCACGGUUCUUCAAUAAUACUAAAUAUUCAGAAAUUCACCUUAGCAUAAAGACGUAAGUUCAUUAUCCAAUCUAAAAUUAAAAAUAAAAUCUCAAAUUCACCUUAAUAGGUUCUUCAGUUGCACUACUUUGAGCUGAUUUUCGAGUCUAGGAGACCGGAGACAAAAUCUGUGAACAAAAUUGUACAAUCUUACAACAAAAAACAAAAUACCUUCGAACAAAGAACCUAAACACCAAAAAUCCAAAACUAAUCUAACAAAAACAGAAUUAGAGAAAGGAAUGGGAUGAUGAGCAAAAUCAUGGAAUGGGAUGAUGAAGAAUCAUGGAAUCAAGGAAACAGAGAUACCUUCGAGCCGUAGGAGUGGCUGGAGCGAUGGGGACGACCAAAGAGGCUAUGACGAGGACCAUUGACUCCUGGUUCUGGUCUUCUAGACUUCUGGGGGACGACCGACGGGGGAGACGACAAGAGAGAAGACUGAGGAUCGAGCAGAGAUCGAACGAGCAAUCGACGACUUGCACAAUUUUUUUCAGAAGAUAAAUGAAUUUAAGGUUCGAUUUUUUGCCCAAAAUUGAACUCGGAUUUCCGUUUCGGUUCGAACCGAAGCAUAAAAACCAGCGGUCAGCACAGAGUAGUGGACUCGUGAAUCGUUGUAAACUCGUUCGAUUCCACGAUUUUCACGAUUUUGCGAGCGAUUUCAUGCCAUUAUAAGCCAUUUUGAUUGCGCGUGAAAUCUGACUCGACGGACCUAACAAAACUCGUAAAAUCGUCGAUUCCACUUCCUUCGUUGUGUAUGUACUGAUAUGGGGUUCCUGGUUUAGUGGUUGAACCGGGGUUGGACCGUUUUUAAACCGGGUCGGCCAUUUUAAAUAUUACAUAAAGUUAAAUCGGACCGAAAAAAUAUUGGAUUGAACGAAAUCAAACUGACAGUACAAAUAGUCAAAUUUUGAGAUUUAACCUUUGAAAAUUGAACAAUUUUAAAAAAUUUAUGUACAUUAUGAUGUUAUUCUUUUUUAAGUUUAUGUAAUAUAAUGAUAUUAUCUAUAGUUGAAGUCUUCCACACAUAUAUAUCUAGAAUGCUAAAGAAACCCUAAUGGAUCUUUCAAUCUUUCUUUAAUUGGGCUCCAACUACUCAAUACCCUCUCUCACACUUUUUUUCUCUAUAGAGAAACUCUCUCCCUUUUUCAUCAGAUUUUUUUCUCCUUGUAAUCUAAUCUUAUUUUUCUAAUAUUUUCAUUCUAUUUCUUCCCUAUUUGUCUCUUUUACUUUUUUCUUUUUGGAAGGUUAUUAGAAAAAGAGGACCACUAAAUAAUUCCGUCGACGUCCAGCAAUAGGGUUUUCCAAUUUUUUCACAGAUGGAUCCAUGUUUCCAAAGUUCUUUUGUUUUUUUUUCUGAUCUGAUAGUUGGUUCUUUAACUAGUUGAAUUAUCUGGUUUUCCGGGGAAAUCGGGUCAAUCCUCAGUUUUGUUCAUUCUCCUCAACCGCUAACUCAGUAUUGAUCAAAUGAUCGGUUCACAGUCGGACCGGCCGGGCUGAUAUGGUUUUGCUAACAUUGAUCUUAGUAGAGCCGACUAGAGGCCAUUCCAACCGAGCCACAAUGGCCUCAUACGAAAAACUCCUAGUUACCCUGAGUUCUUGAUAAUAAAUAAGAAUUGGAGUGCUUGUGCUAUGAUAUCACACUCCAAUUAGUGAAACUCAUUAAGCAUACACACAUUCCUUUCUUUCCAUCAGAAUCACAUAAGCAUUACCCAUCUUUCCAACUCCAAAUUCAAAACUUUGCGGUUGCUAAGUGAGAACCAAUCGCAUCAGUCAUUAGAAUCAUCAAAAUCAACCAGUGAUCAUGUUUAGAGUUACCUCAAAUCCGCCAAGUCCAUUGGCAAUCUCGGAAAUAGUGAAUUUGCAGGCAACCUGCAAAAUGGGCAUAUAUCACCAUGUCGAGGAUUAUGCUUAUACAUAUUAUACCUGUAGGUAAAAUUUACGAUGAAAUUUUCAUAAGAACUGCUCACCUUCGACGGAAUCUACAAUGACCAAGAACAAUUCCAAACAUCCGAGUUGCAAUUUGGAUUAAGACCCACUAAAAGAAAACCGUGUCCAUUAUUACGGAUAAAACCGGCCGUUGUCACUGAUAUUUCCAUGUCCCUGCCUCGUUGUCGCGGGAAAAUCAUCCGCGACAACGGGCGCCUUCAUAAUGAGGGGUGNNNNNNNNNNNNNNNNNNNNNNNNNNNNNNNNNNNNNNNNNNNNNNNNNNNNNNNNNNNNNNNNNNNNNNNNACGGCCGCCUUCAUAAUGAGGGUUGUGGGGACUAAACUAUCCGCGAAAAAUAGGGUUGGCGCGAACCCGUUAUGACCGGUUUGGUUCAAAUAGUUAGGUUGAAAGGCAUUUUAACAAGUUUAUCCGCAAAAACGGCAAGAGAUAUCCGCGACAAUGGCUAACAACAUUUGUUUUGCCGUCAUAACGGUUCCCCUAACGACGUUGAGUUUAUCCACGGCCAAGGUUGACAUUGUUAGUUUCUCCAUCCUACCCGUAAUGGUUGUUGUGCCAAAUACUAGGCCAUAAUAUCUGCGACAACAGCUCAAGUACUGCCUAAAAUUUUGUUAUUUUUGCUUGUUUCGUCCACUGUGGGCGCCUAAAAUAAAAGUUUAUAUAUGCACUAUUCUACACAUAACACAAUAUAUACCAAUAUCAUUAGCAUAACGAUAACACAUAUGAUCAUCCAAGAGUUAAUACUAUAACAUAAUCCAUAGAUCUACUCCAACAUAAUUCCUUGAUUUUUUACCUAACUAAAGUCAUUAGUUCACUAGACUACAUCACUAUCAACCUAGAUAUAACUACACUAGAGACUCGUCAUCCUCAUCCUCGUCAUUAUGACCAAGAUCCUUAUUAGCUCAAGUAUACAAAAGAAGAUAUAUAAAAUUGAAAUUAGGUUAAAACACAUAAAAUUAAGUAACAUGAACUUUAUAACAUAUAAAGAUUACUAAUAAUUUACCCGCCACAUCGUAGUCGUAGUUCUGUUGGAUGUGGUUAUAUUAUAUUAACCGCUACAAUCGUCGUUACGGAUCAUUAUCCGUGUCCGACGAUGACCUAACCGUGACACCCGUUAUCGCGGAUAUUAUCCCCCAUAACUAAUCUACGUCAGACAUCAAAUUUUGUUGUAGUGGCCAAGCUAUUCUUUAAAGCUAGUCAGCCAGUUUUAAUACCCCUAUUUUUUCGAAUAAACAGCUUUACUACUUGAAAUCCAAAUAAGCAUUCCGAUUCUUGAACAUCGCAAUGAAUAAUUUGCACGAUAGAAGUUGAUAUAGUUGACCAAAAACAGCUUUCAAUAAGAGCAGUAUUCUACUGAUAAGUCGUUCGAUUAACCAACUCACGAACUGUAGCAUCAACAUCAAACCUCAUCGGCGUAGAGGUCACAAAAUUACCGGGUACUAACGGAAGCCAUCCGUCUCCCCAAAUUCUAACGGACAUACAAUUUCCCACCCACCACCCAAGGCCACUCCAUACAAAACAUUGAGCACCAAAAAGGCUAUGCCAUAUAAAGCUAAACCCAACUCAGCUUUAAAGACAUAAUAGAAUUUUUAAAAUACUUAGCUUUCAUAAUUCUUACAAUAAGGGAAGAUGCUCUUGAGUGUAAGUUCCAAAGAUGUUUAGCAAGUAAAGUAAUGUUAAAGCCUAAAAAAUCACAUAAUCCCAUCCUAGCUUCGGAUUUCAAACUCAAUAGAUAUUCUUGACAAAAUGAGGGAUGAGCACUGGGUCGGGUCACCCAUCAAAACCCACCCGCCUAUAAUCACUCUCUACCACUACUACCCUUUUCCCCAUCACCAUAAAACUUUGCAUGCUUGUUUGUGUGUUUUUGUAGUUUUUUUGUGUGUUUUAUGUCGCUUUUCAUCGUUUGAGUAGAGAGAGAGAGGGAGAGAGAGAGGGAGAGAGAGAGAGGGAGAGAGAGUAUUUCAAGGGUUGCAUGUCAUACCAAUGAUUAAGAAUGCAUGAUAGAAGGUCUCGAUUCAAAUUAGGGUUCGGUCGGUGUCUGAUCGAAGGACGAAUGAUGCUUGCAUUAUUUUAUUUUUACUGAAAAAUUGGGCUUCUGGAGCAGCCUUUAGAUCAAUCUCAAGGUGUGUGGCUUUGCAUAGUGUGUGUCGUUUCCUUAAGUUUCUCUCGAUAGAAAAUCGAGUUUAUGGCGUGUGAUCCCACAUGCCAUGUGACUGAUUUUUGACAAAACGAACCGACCAAAGAACAACCAAAAACCCAACCGGCUCAAACCGUAAUGAACCAGAUUGAUUUUCAAACCGAUUUUCAACCAAAUCAAACUGAGUUUGACCAGACGCAUUGACCCUUCGUUGACCGGCCGUUGCCCCCGUUGACCGGUCACCAUGGAAGAAAAAACAUGGCAGUUUAGUAGUAUUUUGGGCAUAACAUUUUGCUCGGGAGUCUGAUUGACACAAGGUCAGUGACGUUGGAAACUUGUUCAGUUGCCUACAACUUUGAUGUCAUGAUGUGGCCUAAAUCCAUGCAGUUUGUGCUCAUUUUUCUUGGUUUGGAUUGAUGGAAUUUGAGAAAGUUUGAAUUGUGGUCUUGUUUGGUUUGAUGAUUUGGUGCGAUCGUGAUCAAUUUCUUGAUAGUAUUAUAGUGAUAUGUUCAUUGCAAAUGCUAACGUUUGGGAUGGUUGUCCAAAAUGGAUAAUUCUAGCUUUGCAAUGUGAAGAUUGCUGGAUGUUGAGACGUGAUCACUUUGUCACUCUUGUAUCGAUGGCAUGUUGUUGAUUUUCAUGAGAACUUGGAAUGGCAUCAUGAUGCUUCAAAGUGUGGUUGAACGUAGGUUGUUACUAGGCCUGAGAGUCGGUUAAUUUGGUUACUAACCAUCUGCUUAAUGUUCGGGGAAAAUGAUUUGGAGAUUAAAGUUGGUUAAUCGGUUUAACUGACCGACCAUAUGUAAUGGUUAAAAAGCCGACCAAUAACUGAUAAAUCGGUUAAAUAACCAAUUAUUAACCAACAGAUUAGUCGGUUAAUCCUAUGAACUGACUUUGAUUGAUUGACCGACUAUACCGACUUAACCUAACAAGAUCUGAAUCUCCAUGCUCAUCUCUGCCAUCGAGUGAGCCACGUUCUGCUCAUGAUAACCGUUCGUCCAAGCAUUCAUACUCUACUAAGAAAGCUUGCCAUGGCCGCCACUCUGAACACCGGUCAAAGAACUGAAUACUUGUUCCAAGAUCCGAACUUCCAGAACCGUCUCCAAUCCAUCUUCCCAAUUGUAGUUUGGACAAAGUUUCCUCAUCUGAAUUUUUACUCAAUCACACAACUACAACCUACACGACAACCAUAAUCAAUAGAGUGGAGGGGGAUAGGAUGAAACAGAGGACUGGUUGAAAUUAUAUGGGCCUAUGUUGCAUCCUCAAUAGCUCGUCGUCGCCAAGCCUCACUGAGCCGUCCCCGAGAGAGGAAGAGACGUAGAGUCUAGAGAUCGUGCUUUACUAGUGCUCAACACUCAUGGAGCCGUCACUGAGAGAGGAACAUAAUCCCUAAUGAAUCGUGAAAUCGAGAAUGAACGGGGAUAAGUGAAUAUGUUUGUGUGUGUGUGAGUUUGACCUAAAAAUGGGGGGAUUGGGAAUACGACGUAGACAUUUGGGUUCAGACUUGGGGUUCUUUUGACCGAUUAAUGUUGGUUAACACAAGUUAACUGACGGGUUUUAACCGAUUCACCGUUUAACUGAAGUCAGUUUUUCUCUUUGACCGUCCCCCAACCAACCUGUAGCUCGAUUAAACCUUCCUCUAACUUAUUCGGUCGGUUAAUCAAUUUUAAACGAUUAACCGAAACUGAAUUCCUACCCUUAGUUGUUACUAGGUGCUUUUGUUGCUCCCAAUUGAUGAUUUGUGAUUAUUUCCAUGCUCAUUUAAUUUGCUUCCAUUGCUCAUAUUUUGUCCUACCAUUACCCUUGAUGACUCAUUGGUUACUCACUGUUUUGGUAAAUGGUUCAAAGAAGCAUGAGGCAUAUUACUAGUCCAUUUGUUCCUGUAAUGAUAUAUCUUUGACCUCACCUUUUGGUAUAACUUGAAUGAUGCAUACGUUGUCACUUCAUGCUUUGCAUACACUCUUUAUGCUCGUUCUUGUUCAUUGGACUUGGUCAACAUUUGUGAGGAUUUCUUUGUGGCAAUUGAUGAUAAAUGAGUUAAGGUGGUCCCAUAGCUUUUGCUUACCCUUGUCUUACUAAUUUAUGAAUUAUAGGAUGCUCUUGUUUAGGAUUGCUAGUUAGUCUUGCUUGAGAAUAACUAGUUAUCUUCUUCAUUGGUUUUGCCUUUCUUUUACAUCUUGCCUAUGCCAUGUCUACUUAUGAGCUAUUUAUUGCCUAUCGUUGCCUAAUUCGAUUGGAUGCUUAUUGAGGUGGUUCCUUAGUGGCCGUAGGAUUAUGGGUUGACACCUCUACAUGCUUGAUGUGUAUGAUUAUUCUCCAUUUCGAAAUUUUCAAUGAUACUUUAAAGUCAAAUUUGAAUGCUCUUUACAAAUGUGUCAAUUUUGGCACAGUUUUCAAGGAUUCAUCAUUUAGUGUUUAUAAUUCAUUUUCGUUUUAAAUUUUCGUUUCCCACAUUUACUUUUCAUGUUUUGUUGCUUUUAUUGUUUUAAAUUUUAUUAUUUUUAUUUUAAUAGGCUUACUUUCCUUGUAUAUCCCCAAUUGUAACUUGGUAUCCGUAUUCUCAACUAAAUCAACAAAUGACACCAAAUAACUUAAAAUUGAGAACUAUAAGAGCUCAAAAGAAGGAGAUUUAGCAGAGUCUCUUAUAGGUUUCAAAAAAGCGAGGAAGGAUCUUCAAGUGGAGAGGACCCUUUCUCCUCCCUAACUCCAAUGGCGAACAAAACUCUAGCAUUAGACCACCUAAAGUCAGACGAUAAGCCAUGCAUUCAUCUCGUGGACUUUAUCUUCUAUUGCGACACCAUCAAGCUACACGGUGUUUCUGUUGAGGUUCACAUCGUGUUCCCCUUGAGUUUCAGCAACCAUCCACUCCAAGCACCUUAAAUCAUCCGUCUUAGUUUCUGCUUGUCCCCAAACACCGUACAUCGCAUGUACUUCGUGAUUUUUCCAUUCUUUGAGGCAUUUAGCUCCUCCUUGUACAUCAUACAGUUAUGAAUAAUGCCUCGACGUUGUUGUGUGCCUGAAAUUGAUAAAAAACACAACGCAACAACAUCAAAUGGACCCCAAACGGGUAUGAGACACUAAAUCGAGAUAGAAGUUACAAAUGCACAAAACAUCAUGUCGUGAAUGUUUCGAUCCGCGACACCGAUGGCUUGAAAUAUUUCAGAGUCGCCACCAAUCUGUUGAAGCGGAUUGGACGCUGUCGACAUAACCCAGGUCCUUUUGGACGUGAGUUAGAACAGGUCUGCGGAACAGAGAUCCUGGAUUCGAGAGGCGGUUACGUGCAGGGAAGGAUUAGCACCCCCAUAGCGCCCGUCAAACCGGUACUACUAAAUUUGAUAAGUUAUGUUUUAUUUUCUUAGUUUAGUGGUUUAAUUAUGCUUUAGUUUGGACGCAUAAGGUUAUGUAAAUUUUUUAGAGAAUAUUUUUAUUCAAUUGUAAGUCUUUAUGAGUUCCCACUCUUGUGGAAAUUUUUUUUUAUGUUGAUAAAUAUUUUGAGUUGAACAUUCUUAAUUUAAUUGUUUGGAUUUACGAAUUCCCAUUCUUGUGGAAAUUUUGUUUUACGCUGGUGAAUAUUUUUAAGUUGGUUAUUUUUAAUUUAUAUGUUUGGACUCAAGUCUUACGACUGCCUACGUACCUAAUUCUUUGGGAUCAAAGAUCAUGUAGUUCGUUAUGGAAAAGUUGAUUUGAGGAUUUUUUGUAAUUUUUACUAUUAUAAAAACCACGUUAUCAUGCUCAUUUUUUAUUUGAAAGACAUUUAUUUGGUUAUUUCAAAGUUGGAACUUUAUUUGCCCACUUAUGAUUAAAUGAUAAUUCUACAAAAUUCGAAACUCUUGUCACGGAUACGAAAUUCAUAUAACAUUGCUAUAAUAUCUUUAAAGGAUUAUUAUUAAGGAAAUUUCACAUUUUUUGCCAAUCGAAAAAUUAAUUGGUUUAUAUCAGUUAACUUAAUUUGACAUAAUUAAAAAUGCAUUACAAGACGGUUAACGAACUUACAUUUAAAUAAAUAUGUCACAAGUAUUUUUGGUGAUUUGACAAUUCUAUUGUGGUUAUGUUAAUGUUAAUUAAAAUGAUACGUUGAUUUGAAUAAUUGUAAAGUUUUGAGUUUUUAAGUUUACAACUUUAAGGUAUAAAUAUCAAAUAGGAUUAAAGAAGGUAUGACGUUUAUUCUGUUAUUCUUCCACACUUAUUUCACUUUUAUUCCACUCUUAAUAUGGCCUUAAUGAUAUAUGAAUAUAAUUGAAUCGACUAAAGGCUUGGCCUUUCUAAAUUAAUUGUGCCCAAGCUCGAGCUCGGCCCAACCGAACGAUGAGCCGAACCGGCGGGUAAGAGGAGGGCAGCCCGCGUGCCAAACUGGUCGAACCGGUUAUCCACGGUUCGAUCAGAAAACUCAAAAAGAUGAAAUUGCCCCUAGCGUUCCGUGCGCUGAAGAAGGGUGGCAGGGGAAAUUUUGUAACUUCACCUUAAACCUAAUCGGCCUUAUAAAAGGGCCUCUUAAAUCGAGAAAUGACUCAUUUGCAACUUCCCACUCUCUCUUUAUCAUCCCUCUUUCUAAACCGCCGCCCUUCUCCCCCCCCCCCCCCCCCCCCCCCCCACCCACCUUUAUCACGGAGUGUGCUGUUUUUUUCUAGUUCCUUUCUCUUCUUCUCAGCCGCCCUUUUUUGCCUCCUCUUACCUCUCAGGACCCCUCUUUCUACCUCCGUUUUUUCGAUUUUUCCAGAUUUGGACUUGCAUGUCAUCGGAGGAUACUCCGGUGAGUCCUCCGGCAAAAUGCAAGUCUCGAUCUGUAGAUCUAAUGUUUUAUUUUGGUAUUAAACAAUUUUGGUUAUUUGAGGGUGGUACCGACGGGGGUGGCGGGGAGGUAGAGAAAUGGAAAAAAGAGAAAGUUAGGUAAGUAAGAUUUCUUCCCUAUUCCUUUUGAUUAAUGUCUGGUUAAUUGCUAACGAAGCUAACUACCGGUUUCUUUGAUGACUUUUUUUAUGUCUUUGAAAAUGGGCAUAGUCGACAUGUUUUGGAAAAUGAGAGGAAAAGGAGAAGAUUGCUUUUAGGAGGUAAGACAGCUAAUUUUGAACCCAUUCUAAUUUUUCUAGGUAGAAGUAACAAUUCUAUUUGUUGAUAAGUUGCAUAAGAAACUAGGUUUGUUUUGUUACUGAAGUUGUAGUAGUAGUCUAGGUGUUUUAAAAAGUUUUGUUUGAAAAACUUUAUUUUUUUUACUAUUGUUUAAAUUUUUUUAGCAACAUUGUUUAUUCCAAAAAUCCGUAUUUUAACUCGAUUUUACUAUGAGUUUCAUAGUUCUUUAGGUCUUUGGUGCGAAAAUGAUGAAAGAUGGCUAUAGGUUUCGUUGUUAAUACUUUCCAAUAACUUUUAGUUCAUUUUUGAAGCUUAUUUGAUUGAUUUGUUGGUUGUUUAUUAAAAUGAAUCAUUUAUUUGAUUAGUUGCAACGAAUCAUUGGGUUCAAUAGUAGUUUAGAAGGUUGCUAAGUGAUAUAGCAUAACAAUGUAUAUGUAUGAAUGAUGUGUGAAUGCUUCAGAAUAGGGAUGUUUUGAAUGAUUACCUUCAUUCAAAAUUUCUCUUUUAUCGUAUUUCAGGUGGCGGCGCCUAUCGUGAGUGACGUCAAACCGAUUUGGCGGCUUCUAUGUGUAUGGCGACAAAAGAUGUUGUAAAACUUAUUUUUUUACAGUUUUGUAAUUAUUUCCCGGGACUUUGAACGAGUGAUGUUGGUGUAUUAUUUUUGGGGGUUUUGGGAAGAACUGGGGGACGAAUUUUGAAAACUGUAAGCUCCUCUUUUUGCUGAUUUUUGUCAGUCCAUUUAAAUGCAGAAAGGGCUACAGUCACUUCUUUUAACCAACCACAUCUUGCAAAGUUUUCUGACAAAAAUAAAAGGUGGCAGCUCCCCAAAUAAUAACCGUAACGGGCCCGAUAUUGGGCUUGAAAUAAGGCCUGGAAUCGGGCCCGAAAUCAAAUUGGGUCUAACACAUAAAUAGUUUCGAGAUAAGGGAUUUUGCCGAAUUUCGAGAUAGCGGACUUGAGGUCCACUCAUUUCGGCCGUUUCCGUUUAAAAAGAUCUAAAACAAAAUCGGCUUAGAACAGUCUGUAACAUAAUAAUUACAUCUCGAAAAUAUGCUAUUUGGCUACCAAGUUCUCCCCUAACGUGCACUUUGAUUAAUUUAACUGAAUAAACUUCGCAACAAGUAAAAUCUCGACGCUAAAUCCUUCCUAGAGAUGCUACGACUAUUUAGUGAAAUGACACUGGCGUGCAUUCUUCACUCGAACGAAAUUUGGUUACUACAGUUGUCCCUCUUUGUAUUACUUUCGCUUGGAAGUGGAAAGUGGUACAAAGACAGAAACCAAAUUUCGGACGAGCGCCUGAACUUCUCACGUCAAGUCCACUAGGGUCCAAGGAUCUGCCACAACAUCGGGUAGAAAACAAAAUUUGCAACCUGACCACACAAACAACAUGCAAUGCAUUUCCCUAUGGGUGUUAGGGUGAAUGUACUAGGGACUCAGCUUGACUUAUCUCCCGUUCCAUGGGUUGACUAUACUAGGGACUCAACUCGACUUAUCUCCUGUUCCAAGGUGCAAUCCGCUUUCCCCAGGAUGCUAAGGGUUGAUGUACUAGGGAUUCGACUAGACUUAUUUCCCGUUCCAACGUGCGAUCCGUUUGCCUUAGGACGCUAAGGGUUGAUGUACUAGGGAUUCAGCUUGCUUAGUUCCCGUUCCAUGACUACAAAUGUGUUGAUGAUGAAUGGUUUCGAAAGAGUUUGAGUAAGGCUCCCCCUUUUUGAAAAAAACAUGCAUCUGAUGGCAAUGCUUGAUUGAUAUUUUUCAUCAUUUUCACUCCGACGAGAUUCACUGUUUUGUUUUCUUGUCGCUUAGUUCGCACUACGUGCUAGCGCAAUGGUGUCAACCCUGCUGAUAGCUGGGUAACCUUUAAUGUAUGUGCCCAUUUUUCUUUGUUUUUCCCCCGACGUCUUCAUAUUAUUCCCAUGCCUUGGGAUUUUAAGGAUCUCUUUCCUACUUUGUCUCUACUUCUAGAUAUAAUGGUAAGAUAACGACGACCUUUGUAAAUUUCUUUCUUCGGUUAGGAAUAAGUGGAGAAAUCCUGCCAUCCGGGCUUCUUUUCUUUAACCCUUCCCUUUUACUAAUUUUUUCAUUCUUUCAACGGUUUUCAUUAUUAUUACUAUUAUUUUUCUCCCUUUUGUCUUCACUUUACCGCUAAUUUCAUUUGAAAAGACCUCCUAAUGAUUAAUUAGAGCGAAGGUGUUUGCACGAACGCAUUUGCCUCAAGUUCCUGUGGGGUGUUGUACCUCAUCCAUUUUGUUUGGUGAUGCGUGAACAAUGGUUAGGAGAGUAGUAUUUGAGAAUUCAUGAAGUAUCCAAAACUUAAAGUUGACUUAAAUUAUCACUUUAUUGAUGGAAAACCGAUCACGUAGAUCUCCGUCAGGAACUUUAAGCAUAGUACUUGUUUACUGAAUAAGAGUUAAAUAGGUAAGGGAGCUUGUCUCCGUCCAUGUUUGCCAGUAUUAAUGCCCCCCUGAGAAAGCCCUUUCCCCUACAUAGGGCCCUUCAUAGUUCGGCUUCCACAUUCCUCUUGGGUCCCCUUGUCAAAUGGAAAUCUUCUUCGUUACCAACUCUCCUUCGCGAAAUUCCCGUGUUUCACUUUUUUUUAAAAGAUCUGAUAAAUCUGCACUGAUACAGGCGUUAGUGGUGGAUAGCUGCCAACCUUUUCUCAUCAAUUUAAUUUAACUGGUCGUAUGCCGCUUUUACCUACUCAACUUGUUCUAACUUCGCCUCCAUGAUAACCCUUAGUGAAGGCAUUUCUACGUCCAUGGGAAGCACUGCCUCCAUCCCAUAGACCAAUUGGUAAGACGUCGAUCCCGUUUAGGUUCUUACUGAUGUUCAGUAACCGUGCUGGGUAAAUGGUAGAAUUACGUGCCAAUCGCGGUCGGUAACGACCAUUUUCUGUAUGCUUUUCUUGAGGUUUAUUGUUUGUCAGCUCGACCGCUCCGUUCAUCUUUGGUCGGUAUGGUACCGAGUUGUGGUGCUUAAUCUUAAACUUGUUGCAAAGCUCAUGCAUCAUCUUGUUGUUGAGAUUUUUCGCAUUGUCGAUUAUUAUUCUUUCCAGGAGCCCAUACUAGCAAAUGAUUUCCUUUUGUAUGAACUUUUUGACAACGCUCUUGGUAGUGUUUGCAUAUGACACAACCUCGACCCAUUUCGUGAAAUAGUCGAUGGCUACUAGGAUGAAACGGUGCCCAUUAGAUGCUUUUGGUUCAAUCAUGCCUAUGACCUCAUGAUGCAAAAGGCCAAGGCGAUGCCAUAAUGUGCAACGAUGAUGGAGACACGUAUUUCUCACCGGCAUAAACCUGGCACUUAUGGCAUUUUCUCACGUGUUUUACAUAGUCAGAGUUCAUCUUCGUCCAAUAGUAACCCAUCCUUAAUAUCUUCUUAGCUAGCGCAUGACCACCGACAUGUGUGCCGCAGACUCCCUCAUGGACUUCUUUUAUUGUUCUCUGAGAUUCAGGGGCAGCUACACAUCUUUGCAGCACAAAAUCAUGGCUUAGUCUGUAGAGGGUAGUCCUAUGAACAUAGUAACCCAUCUCCAAUCUCCGUAGAGUCCUUUUAUCAUUUUCAGAUGCCCUAGCUGCGUACUCCCUUUUAUGUAGGUAGGUCUUUAUGUGAUGGUGCCAGGGAUUCCUCAUGCUCUUUUUGGACUCUACCUAGGUAGGCAGGUGCAUUUUUCUUUUUGAUUUUGCUUCAUGGGUUAACCUCGGUCUCGUCCAGUUUGUACAUCGAGGACAAUGUGGCGAGAGCAUCCGCUAUUUGAUUGUCGACUCGCGAGAUGUGCUCAAACUGUAUCGACUCAAAUUUUGCGGCCAUUUCCCCUAUGUAUUUAUGGAAUGGGACAAGCUUAUGACCCCUAGUUUCCCAUUUUCCUUCAACUUGUAUAUUACUAGCGCUGAAUUACCAUAUGCCUUCAAAUUCUUAAUAACCAUUUCGAGGGCUCCUCGGAUCCUGAAAGUGCACGAUUGGCACUCUGUUAUGUUGUUGGUGCAAUCGAAGCAAAUUUUGGCAGUAAUAGGGCACACCCUCCCUUCAGAAGAGACAGAAACGACGCCGACGCCCUGUCCCAAUGAGUUUGAGGCCCCGUCAAACUUCAUCACCAAUGUUUUUUGGACGAAGCCUUCCACUAAUUUCUCAGUGUUCAGUAUAGUUUCAUCCGGAAAUUCCAUUAACAUCGGAUUCGUGUCCGAGAUUGCAUGCUCCGCUAGAUGUUCUGCCACUACACUCCCUUCAAUGGCCUUCCUUCGGAUAUAAACGAUGACGUAUUCUGCCAGCAGCACUUGCCAUUAGCCUAUCCAUCUGGAGAGGGCCAACUUUUCGUGGACAUCCUUGAUAGGGUUCAUUUUUUAUAUUAGGAGCUUCGUGUGAUAUAACAUGUACUAUCUCAGCCUUAUGGCUACCCAUACAAGUGCUCCGCAAGUUUUCUCGAGCGAUGUAUAUCGAGAUUCGUAGUCAUGAACUUCUUGCUGGUGUAAUAUAUUGGCGCGCUCUUUCCUUCCCGAUUCAACAUGUUGGGCCAACAUCGCGCUUACCAAAUUUUCAAAUACCGUGAAGUACAAUAUUAGUGACCUUCUAGAAGUUGGUGGGGCCAGAACCGGAGGGUUUAAUAAACACCCUUUGACUUUCCGAAAGGCAUGAUGACAACCUUCAUCCCACUCGACAUUCCGGUUCUUCUUUAAAAGCUUGAGAAUGGGUUCACACGUUAAGCUCAAAUGCGAUAUGAACCGACUAAUGUAGUUCAAGCGUCCUAAGAAUCCUAGCACCUCUUUAUGCAUUUAGGGAGGAGGUAUGUCAACCAUUGCCUUCACUUUGUCAGGGUCCACUUCAAUCCCCUUUUGGCUAACCACGAAACCGAGCAGCUUCUCCGAGGUGACUCCGAACGUACACUUUUCUGGGUUCAGCCAGAGCUGGUACUUCCCGAGUCGCUCGAGCAAUUUUCAUAGCACAGUUACGUAGUCGUCUUCCUUUUAUAACUUUGCUAUAAUGCCAUCCAGAUAUACCUAUAUUUCUUUGUGUAUCAUGUCAUGAAACAGUGUGACCAUGGCCCGCUGGUAAGUUGCCCUAGCGUUCUUCAGCCCAAAAGACAUAACUUUAUAGCAAAAGGUUCCCCAUAAAGUGAUGAUGGUCUUUUUUUCUCGAUCAUCCGAAACAUCCUGAUAUGGUUGUAUCUUGAGAAACUGUCCAUGAAAGAGAACAUAUUAGUUGACGGUAUUAUCAACGAGGACAUUUAUGCGAGGCAAAUGGAAGUUGUCCUUUGGGCUUGCCCUAUUUAAAUCUCUGUAGUCUACGCACAUUCUCAUUUUUCCAUUCUUCUUAGGCAUAGGGACCAUAUUAGAGAUCCAAUCGGUGUAUUACGCCACCUGUAAGAACCCGAUUUCGUAUUGUUUCUGCACUUCUUCCUUAAGUUUGAGUAUCCAUUCCGGUUUCAUCCGCCAUAACUUUUGCUUUACUGGCUUGCACUCCUCCUUUAUUGGCAAGUGAUGUGUUACUAUUGUUCAUCGAGGCCCAACAUAUCUUGAUAAGACCUUGCGAAAACGUCCUAGAAGUUCUGGAGUAGUUUGACGAGCCUGUUCUUUUCUGCUUGGUCUAAACUGUCCCCUACCUUAACCUGUCGCCGAUUGUCCUCUGUUCCCAAAUUCACGACCUCUACUGACUCGUAGAAAGGUUUCAAGGAUCGCUCUUCUUAUCCUGCCAUCCAAUCUGUUUCUAGGUUAGAACCAUCACUGGCUUCCUCGGUUUCCAUCUCAUAAACUGGGUGGUGAAAGUCAACUUUAGUGUUUCGUACCUCUUCAUUGUUUUCAAACACAUCUGUAACCCUGUUACGUGACGGGAAAUAGAAAAGGGAAAAAGAAGAAAAGCGGAAGUGAAUAAUAUAGACGAUGCACGGAUUGAGACUUAUGAAAACAUGCUUUAUCAAACAUGUGAAAAUGUGAUACAUGCAUUCAGGAUCACUUAAAAAACACUAGGAAGCCCUUGCUUAUUUUAUUUAGUAGUCAUAUUUUAGAGUUAUUACAUCUGCAAUGGCGAAAGUAACUCCAAAGCCUCCCAAUUGCUUAGCUCUUCCUUUGGACGGAGCUGCCGCACCCAUUUUAUUCCGGUCAUAAUUCCCGUACCCAGCAUGCUGAUGAAGAGAUCUGCAAAAUCCGACUGUAACUCUUUGGUGGUCGGAUCAGUGUAGUUUUUCCUCACAUUUAUCUUUCCAGCAUUCUUGCUUGUGAUGUGAGGUAUGAAAGUCAGGCCUUCAUCAUCUUCUGUCCCACUUAACCUGGACACCCUCCUCCUUAUCCGUUCCUUUUGGAUCCUCCUUAUAUCAUCAUCGUUUAGAAUGUAUCGCAAUCCCGCACGGUUCUUAUUUUCUUUGACCUGGAUGGGUUCUUUCAGCACCUCCUGCCAUUAGUAUCAUAGAUUCCAUACUCGAUAUUAAUCUAACCGAUGUCUCGAGACUAAUUAGAGUUAAUUACCAAGUGCAUUAAUAUAGUACAAUGAUUAAUCUGAAAAUUAAUUCCAAAGCGGAUCGACAUUCCGCCCCUCUCUCAAGUGUAGCGGAGACGACGAUAGACCUUGGCGUUUGGGGAUUUAGUCUCACUUUCGUAUCUAAACCAAAUCCCAACAAUAAUCUUACAACUGGAAUUCGACAAUUACAAAAUAAAGCAGUAGCUAUAUGCAAGAGAAAGACAAUAACGAAAUUAAUGAUAGUUCCGCUUAACACAAUCGAAAUUAUGUCGUAUUAACACAUAAUCAAGGUUUCAUCAAUUUCGGACAGACAGCUUAGUUACACAUGGUGAUCAAAUUAAAAACACAGAAAUCAAGAUAAUACAUGAACCUGGAGCUCCAUGCUUCAUGAACGCUCUGCCGUCGUAAAAUUCAGCAAUGUAGGCGGUCCGAACGGAAGUUCCGAAAUGGAUUUCUUCACCUUCGGAGCUCGAAAUUGCAUGCGGUUUGAAGUGGCAUGUUCCUGGGUUGAAGAAGGACGUCUUGGGGCAGAGUAGGAAGGCUUGCGGGUCUGAUAUGGUGUGUGUAUGGUGUGAUUUCGAAGUGGACAUGACUUGCCCUUAUAUAGGCUCGAAAAAUGGCGUAUUAAGGCCUCCGACAUGGGCAUACCAACUCCAUCAUCUGUAUGCAAGCUGUAGCUGUCCCUGGACUGAUGAUGGACGGAUCUACAUGUGCUGGACGUCCUCAACCAUGCCCGGUUAUCCUUCCGGCGAUCGGUUGAGCGGUGGAUUGUAAAACGGGUCGUAACUUCUUCGUUGCAAAUCUGAUUUAGCUCCGGUUUGUAUCGUUGGAUUUUUAAUUCAUCCCUUUAUAAUACGUGACCUGAAAUUUUAUUAAACACACUAGAAGAAAUAUAAAAUUGGACCAUAAAGGUCCAAGGGUUGAAUUUACGGAAUUAAGUGCAAUAUAACUGAUAUCCGUCGAAACUUUUGUUUGCAAUUGAUAUUAUGACUUGAAGUGUAGAAAGUUUAGUGCCAAAUAUUACGGUAUGUUAUGAUGUGAUCAAAAUACCCCACACUUAAACUUUUCUUGUCGUCAAGAAAACUGUAACUUAACCCACACGAAAUACCAAAGAUAGUUACCAUCAUUUAUACAAGGUUUAGGAAAUGUAAUUUUACAAUUUACGAUGCAACAGAGGUUAAAUGCUUGGCCACAUCGGUGAGAUAAAUCUCUAGUUAGAAAUUCACGAGACAGUGCACACCAGAUUAAUCAAGAUUCAAAUGCUAAAAAUAAAAGGGUUAAAUGCAUUUGUUGCAACUAUAAGAUUCAUUUUGCGCUUCCUUACGAAAUUAUGAAAUUUUAUUUCUUUUUUAAAGUUUCAAAAUUUUGAAUAACCCGUAGCCGAGCAAGACUAGUGAGUACUAUACUCAACCUUUUAACACAUUUCAUUCUUCCCACACACACCUCAAUUAAGUCCCGUAUGGGAGGCAUCUAAACUGGCUGCCUAAUUGGCAGGGCAGCUAAUGCAGAGGUGCUAGUCCUCUACCACACGCGUUAAGUUAAUCAUUGAAUUAUUGAGACAAAUUAAAGAAGCAUUUUGAUUUAAACAUUUUUUUAUG